CCUACGGGAGGCAGCAGUGAGGAAUAUUGGUCAAUGGCCGUAAGGCUGAACCAGCCAAGUAGCGUGAGGGAAGACUGCCCUAUGGGUUGUAAACCUCUUUUAUGCGGGGAUAAAGGUGUCCACGUGUGGAUGUUUGCAGGUACCGCAUGAAUAAGGACCGGCUAAUUCCGUGCCAGCAGCCGCGGUAAUACGGAAGGUCCGGGCUUUAUCCGGAUUUAUUGGGUUUAAAGGGAGCGUAGGCCGGUCUUUAGGCGUGCCGUGAAAUUUUGUGGCUCAACCAGGAGAGUGCGGCGCGAACUGGAGACCUGGAGUGCGCGGAAGGCAGGAGGAAUUCGUGGUGUAGCGGUGAAAUGCAUAGAUAUCACGAAGAACCCCGAUUGCGAAGGCAGCUUGCCGAAGCGCUACUGACGCUGAAGCUCGAAAGCGCGGGUAUCGAACAGGAUUAGAUACCCGAGUAGUC
RNAcentral lists this ribosomal RNA (460 nucleotides) under uncultured bacterium. Its description in RNAcentral is "partial 16S ribosomal RNA". It matches the Rfam family "Bacterial small subunit ribosomal RNA", at positions 338 to 795 of the family's 1533-position model. The record is from RNAcentral.